Molecule: ribosomal RNA, 310 nt
Filed under: uncultured prokaryote
Description: bacterial SSU rRNA
Rfam family: Bacterial small subunit ribosomal RNA
Source: RNAcentral
UACGUAGGUGGCAAGCGUUGUCCGGAAUCAUUGGGCGUAAAAGCGCGCGCAGGCGGUCCCUUAAGUCUGAUGUGAAAGACCCACGGCUCAACCCGUGGAGGGGUCGAUUGGAAAACUAGGGGGACGGUUGUAGUGCAGAAAGAAGGAAAAGGACGGAAGUUACCUAACGUAGUAGCGGUGGAAAUAGCGUAGAGAUUUGGUAGGGAACGACCACGUGGCGGAAGGACGGGCGUUUCUUGGUCGUGUAACUAGACGCUGAGGCGGCGAAAGACGUGGGGAGGGCAAACAAGGAGUUAGUAUAUCCCUCGUA